Molecule: ribosomal RNA, 1648 nt
Filed under: Promesostoma neglectum
Lineage: Eukaryota; Metazoa; Platyhelminthes; Rhabdocoela; Promesostomidae
Description: eukaryotic LSU rRNA
Rfam family: Eukaryotic large subunit ribosomal RNA
Source: RNAcentral
AGCAUAUCAGUAAGCGGAGGAAAAGAAACUAACAAGGAUUUCCUUAGUAAUGGCGAAUGAACAGGAAAGAGCUCAAAACCGAAUCCUGCUGUGUUAUGCAGUUAGGAAAUGUGGUGUUUGGGUCUCACUUUGUGCAGGAAUGCUUUACUCCAAGUUCACAUGAUUGUGGCUCAUUAGCCCAAGGAGGGUGUAAGGCCCGUAAGAGUAAUUGCGUUACUGUCUUUGUGGUGACCCUAGAGUCGGGUUGUUUGGGAUUGCAGCCCUAAGUGGUGGUAAACUCCAUCAAAAGCUAAAUACAAUGCGAGUCCGAUAGCGAACAAGCUACCAUGAGGGAAAGUUGAAAAGAACUUUGAAGAGAGAGUUCAAUAGUGCGUGAAACCUUUCAGAGGUAAGCGGGUUGAGCUGAAAUUGGUGUGAUGAUUGAUGGUUGCCGAUUGACGGUUGGGUGGAGUUAGAUCGUUAUAGACUGCUUCAUUUGAUUGUAUUAAUUGGUUGCCUGUUUAUCUCAUGCUUUAACCACGAUCGGCGCUAGACUGUACUACCAUUGCGGAGAAGGUAGCCAAUAUGCUUUCGGGUAUAUUGGUGUUAUAGAUCUGCUUUGUGGUUUCGGUUUGGUGUCGUGAAGAUGGAUGUGACUGUAAGUACUGGUAUUAGUGUUGUGUGGUGUGGUGACUUUUAAAGUUGCCGUAUUACUACUGAUGCUUAUUGCUAUUGUGCCUAUGCGUUACAAUCCUAAAUCAGUGGUUUAUAGUAGGCGUUCAACCCGGCCCGUCUUGAAACACGGACCAAGGAGUCUAACAUAUACGCAAGUCAUAGGGUUCUACGAAACCUAAAGGCGCAUUGAAAGAGAAGGUUGCCUUGUUGCAACUCAGCUAUGAUCUUAAUGUCUUCGGAUGUUGAGCGCAAUAGCGGCUUGUCUCAUACUCUUUGAGUGAGGCAACGCAAGAGCGUAUAUGAUGGUACCCGAAAGAUGGUGAACUAUGCUUGCAUAGGUUGAAGCCAGGGGAAACUCUGGUGGAGGACCGCAGCGCUUCUGACGUGCAAAUCGAUCGUCAAAUGUGAGUAUAGGGGCGAAAGACUAAUCGAACCAUCUAGUAGCUGGUUCCCUGCGAAGUUUCCCUCAGGAUAGCUGGUACUCGGGAAUCAAACAGUUUUAUCCGGUAAAGCGAAUGAUUAGAAGUAUUGGGGACGAAAUGUCCUCAACUUAUUCUCAAACUUUAAAUGGGUAAGAAGCUGCACUCUCCUAAACGGAGUGUGGCAUUGAAUGUGAGUGCCUAGUGGGCCAUUUUUGGUAAGCAGAACUGGCGAUGUGGGAUGAACCAAAAGCGGUGGUUAAGGUGCCUAAAUGUACGCUCAUGACAUACCACAAAAGGUGUUAGUUGAUAUAGACAGCAGGACGGUGGCCAUGGAAGUUGGAAUCCGCUAAGGAGUGUGUAACAACUCACCUGCCGAAUCAACUAGCCCUGAAAAUGGAUGGCGGUGGAGCGUUCUACCUAUACCGCGCCGUUACUGCUAGGAAUUGACUGUAUGCAGUAACGUGUAGCAGGGCGAAAUGGUAAGCCUUGAAGCUUAGACUGUAAAGUCAAGUGGAGCUGCCAUUUGUGCAGAUCUUGGUGGUAGUAGCAAGUAUUCAAGUGAGAACCUUGAA